AUUGUUAUAUCAAAACGCUUGUUGAUAUUCCAUUUAAAAUAUUACAAAAGGUUAUUUUUAGAAGGGUGAAUAAGCGAUAAUCACUGAUAAUAAAUAUUCACCUGACAAAACAUCACUGUAAACAUAAUAUUACAUGUUCUCUAACCUAGAAUUUGCAAAUUAAUUUAAACUUAAAAUCAUGAUUUCCUAUUUUGUUUGCUUUGUUAAUUUGGGGCGUAAUCAUAUAAGUUUAAGUAUUAUAAUUUUUAAAAUGUGGUAAUACAGCAGUUUUACUUUAGUCAUGGAAAUCAGUACUAACUUUAUUAAGGUUCUUAUAUAUCAUUAACUUGUACAUUUUUUAAAUUAUAGUAUUCAACUAUUGCUUUUAGUUGUUUUGGCUGUUACAUUUUUAUUCUAAAUACAAAUAGGUGAUUUUUAAAUAAUUAUAGCUGUCAUAUGACAGAGUAUAAAAAUUUGGAUGGAAUUAUCAAUGUAGGAAGUGUUUUAAAUAGUAAUAAAAGUGAUGAUAGUGUAAAUGUGCAAACUAAUUCUAAUAGAUUUUCCUCAUAUUCAUCUCUAACUGAAUCAAAUUCCAAGUAUAGAACAUAUAAACCAAUAGAAUGGACUUUGCAGUCUAUUAUGAGCUUGAUUUAUUCAACUAAUUAUGGUCGUUUUAUUUUGACUGAUGCAAAAGUAAACCAUGAACAUUUAUCUAAUGAUGCUCAAAAUACACUUACGAGACUUAAUAAAUUAUUUAUUUAAAGACAAAGCUCGGGGAACUGAUUUUUAAUUUCGGAAAAUUUCUUCAAUUAUCAUUGAAAUAUUUCGAAAAGAACAAGAAAAAGUAUAUUUUAUACCAUCAAGUCAAAAUAAUUCCAUGCAAAAGGAAAAUUAGUGGAAUGUUGGAAAAAUGUUGUACACCAGCUUCUGAAUAUAGGUGCUAUUGAAAGUAAAAGAAAAAAUAAAAACUUCUAUGAAACAUUAAUAAUUUUACACAUUUUCAUUUUAACAUUUAGUAAUAAUAUUGUCAAACAUUUAUGUUUUAUAUUCAUGCUAAUACAUCCAAUUCAUUUAUUUAUUUAAUAUAAAAAUUAAAAUAGAUGAAGCUGAAUUAGCAAAAGUUUGGUUAAGCACAAUUGGGUUGUCUUUUAACUUUGAUGAGAUUAAAAAACACUGAACAUUAACUUAUGAAAUAAGAAAGGCUAAAAAUCGAGGUUUAAAUAGCAUUACUGAGUGCUAUGGCUGGAAAUGUCUAGUUAUAAAAACAGCAACAAACUCUUCACCUUUAAUCAUUACUGUAAAUUAUUAAUAAAAUCUGAAAUAGUGGUCCAAAAGUUGUUAUUGACCAGUCAUUUUCUUAAUUAGAUUAUUAUCUAACAAAAAAGCCAAUAAAUUAUGUGUAUUGCUAUUAUGAAAAUUAAAUUUGACUUCCUUAUGAGGUAAAAGGGAUGAACAUAAAAAAAUACUUUAUGAAUGAUACAUUUAAAGAAACGUACUAAAAGAAACCAAUAAAAAAAUCAUCAAUAUUUUUAUUUUGUUUGUUUAUGAUGGUUUAUUAAGACAUCUUAAUAAAUUGUACUUCAUUUUUUUCCAGUAAAUUUGUCAGAAUUCCAGAUUAUUAUUAAUUUUGUAAUACGCGCAAUAUUUUGUUACUGGCUUCUACAAAAACUCUUUUAGUUGGAGGUGGAUCAUUCCCAGCAACCAGAAAUUCAUAAUAAAUAUCGCGUUCUGCCUGAAUUUUUUUCAGCUCUAUUAUGAAUUUCCAAAUAGUUGUUUUGUCAUGCUUAAUUGGGCUUGUAAUCUUCUGUGAGCCGCUUCAGAAAUAUUAUUAGUUUUCUAAAAUCAAGAAAUUAUAAAUUAGUCAAUAAGUAUAAAUAUAAUUAACAUUUACAAUUGGUUACACUGUUUUGUUAACAAAAAUAUGGCUGUUACUGUUUAAAAACUUGUAAAAAUGUAUGUCUUCCAGGAUGAACAUUGUGAAUGAUUGUAUUAAAUGAAUUUUAAAUAUGUUUUGGAUGACCUCUAGGUUCCAUAGAUAGUUAGAUAAGUUCCAAGUUUGUAUAGGAAAUGCAGGUAUCCUCCUCGCCCCUUCUCUUCUUAAUAGUCCAAUAUAAAAAGUUUCAAGCCAAUCCAAUAUUGGCUGUAAUCUUGGAUAAGUAACUUCCAAUAUCUCACUUAAUUCUUCAAAACAACUGACUACAUCUUCUGGUGGUACGAAUGCUAAAGCUGUUACCAUUCUAGCAUGUAGAUUGAAGUCGCUGUCAUUUCUAUAAUCUCUACAAGGAUAAAUUAUAUUUUUCAACAAAUGGAAAAAACAACCUCUAAUUUCUAUAUUGGGAAAUUCUAUUCUGAAGGCAUUAUGAAUGGCCACUUCAAAAUCCACAGAUAUGCUCCCAACAAUUAUUCCUGGUGCUAAGUUUUUUAUUUCAACAAUUAGCCGUAGGUAAGUUGAUUGUUCUUUAUUUGGAAGUAAAGUAUACAGGCAAGGAUGUAUACCUCCAUUGCGAAUACCUAAUAUCACAAAAACUUGUGAAAAUAAUUGUGGACUUAUGUUGAAGGUUCCAUCAACAAACCAUUCAUCGCAUGUUGCUAGAAUCUGCAUAGUUCAUUUUACUUCUAAACCUCUCAUGCGACCAAAUAUGAGAAUCCUAUUUCUUGCUGGUCCAGUGUCGCAUAGAAGGAAAUUUUCAUAAAUGCCAGGCUCACUUUCGUACAUCUUGAAGCUCUCUGGAAUUUCCAAAUCUAUUAAUGUCAGUGGAGCAGUUGGCAUUUCAGGACCAUUUUGUCACCUGACUCUCCUGAUGGUCUUUUUAAGGCUGUUCAUUGAUUUAAGACUUCCUUUUGCAGUAACUGUCAUGUUUUCUAACAAGUGACUCUUCGUGACCACCAUGUACACCUCGAACCACAAUAUUGCCAUCAGUAAUAUGGAUACGACCUUUACAAUUGAGCUCUCUUCUACGACAACGAUAGGAUUCAGUUACACCAUUAGCAAGAACUUUAUCAAAAACAUACUGAUACCCUUCAUGAUUUACAACGUUUUGAUUGCGAUUAGUUAAAAUGUCCAUUUUAAAUAAAUUAAUAUUACAAAUAUAUAGAAAAAGUUCUUAAAACAAAGAAGUUUACUAAUUCACAGUAAAAAUCAUCAACAAGUCAAAAACAAAGCGAAAUAGAAUAAAUCAACGGCGUAUUUUACAAUCGAACGAACGCUUGAAGAACUAAUCGACUAAUAGGGCUGCUCAUCAAAUUCUAAAAUGGCAUAUUGAAAAAUUGAACACCUGCAAGACUUUUUCUACAAAUUCACUAUCAAUGUCGUUAAUUUUUAUUAAGGAUAUUUUUAAAAAAAUAAGUGAUAAUUCUAAACCUCGUCAUUAUAUAUAGCCCAUAAGAUAAUAGUUAAGAUGAAAUCUUUUUAUAAUAAUAAUAUUGAAGAGAAACUAAUAAAUGAUUUUCGUUGUGUUA
This is a long non-coding RNA of Daktulosphaira vitifoliae (grape phylloxera), 3438 nucleotides long. RefSeq lists it as uncharacterized. The record is from RefSeq and is a predicted model, not a curated record. The transcript is spliced from 10 exons. Lineage: Eukaryota; Metazoa; Arthropoda; Insecta; Hemiptera; Phylloxeridae.